GCGAUAAGGGGACCUCGAGUGCCAGGUUACAAAUCUGGCUGUCGUGAUGCCUAAAAAGCAUUGCAUAGCAAGGGCCGGGCAAGACCGGUGCCAGCCGCCGCGGUAACACCGGCGGCUCGAGUGGUAACCGUUAUUAUUGGGUCUAAAGGGUCUGUAGCCGGCCGGAUAAGUCUCUUGAGAAAUCUGGCAGCUUAACUGUCAGGCUUUCAGGAGAUACUGUCUGGCUCGAGGCCGGGAGAGGUGAGAGGUACUUCAGGGGUAGGGGUGAAAUCUUGUAAUCCUUGAAGGACCACCAGUGGCGAAGGCGUCUCACCAGAACGGACCUGACGGCAAGGGACGAAAGCUAGGGGCACGAACCGGAUUAGAUACCCGGGUAGUCCUAGCCGUAAACGAUACUCGCUAGGUGUCGGCCACGGUGCGACCGUUGUCGGUGCCGUAGGGAAGCCGUGAAGCGAGC
Molecule: ribosomal RNA, 457 nt
Filed under: uncultured archaeon
Lineage: Archaea
Description: bacterial SSU rRNA
Rfam family: Archaeal small subunit ribosomal RNA
Source: RNAcentral